AUAAACAAUUUUGUUUAUUCCCCUAAGAUUCCUCAAGAAAUAUGAGACAUUUCUGAACUUGGACUUUGACAAGCCUUAGAGGGAGCAAACUGAAUAAAAAAGGUCUCUAUUGCUGUGCGUGGACUUGCUCCAGUUGCGGUGUCCUGCAUCCCCAAGGUACAAUGAGGAGCAAGAAGCAUGAUACUCAGCACUUGGCUGCAAGGUGCUGAUGAUCUAGGUAAACACACACACAGACCACUGACUAAUGUCUGGGUGAGCUGGCCCUCUUC
This is a long non-coding RNA of Bubalus bubalis (water buffalo), 269 nucleotides long. RefSeq lists it as uncharacterized. NCBI's taxonomy places the organism in Eukaryota, Metazoa, Chordata, Mammalia, Artiodactyla, Bovidae. The transcript is spliced from 3 exons. The record is from RefSeq and is a predicted model, not a curated record.